GAUGAACGCUGGCGGCGUGCCUAAUACAUGCAAGUCGAGCGAACGGACGAGAAGCUUUCUUUUCUGAUUUUAGCGUCGGACGGGUGAGUAACACGUGGAUAACCUACCUAUAAGACUGGGAUUACUUCGGGAAACCGGAGCUUAUACCGGAUUAUAUUUUGAACCGCAUGGUUCAAAAGUGAAAGACGGUCUUGCUGUCACUUAUAGAUGGAUCCGCGCUGCAUUAGCUAGUUGGUAAGGUAACGGCUUACCAAGGCAACGAUGCAUAGCCGACCUGAGAGGAUGAUCGGCCACACUGGAACUGAGACACGGUCCAGACUCCUACGGGAGGCAGCAGUAGGGAAUCUUCCGCAAUGGGCGAAAGCCUGACGGAGCAACGCCGCGUGAGUGAUGAAGGUCUUCGGAUCGUAAAACUCUGUUAGUAGGGAAGAACAUAUGAGUAAGUAACUGUGCACAUCUUGACGGUACCUGAACAGAAAGCCACGGCUAACUACGUG
Molecule: ribosomal RNA, 497 nt
Filed under: uncultured bacterium
Lineage: Bacteria
Description: partial 16S ribosomal RNA
Rfam family: Bacterial small subunit ribosomal RNA
Source: RNAcentral